CCCAGGAGUGCAGCUCACGUGGACUGGGCUCCCCAGAGCCUGAGGAGGCCACGGGAACCUGGCCUGGGAGGGUAAAGAGAGUUUGGGACAUUUUACCAUCUGGAGUUUCUCUGUGCCUUGCUGAUGAUCUGAGCUCAAACCUGCCAGAUAAGAAAACCUCCUGUAACAUCUGAGAGAAAAUGGGAAAAACAGAGGUACCUUUAAUGGAACAGAAUAAACCACUGAACAGGUAACUAAAUUAUCA
RNAcentral lists this long non-coding RNA (244 nucleotides) under Bos mutus (wild yak). RNAcentral describes it as "lncRNA (ENSBMUG00000000412.1)". The record is from RNAcentral. Lineage: Eukaryota; Metazoa; Chordata; Mammalia; Artiodactyla; Bovidae.